Molecule: transfer RNA, 59 nt
Filed under: Cynoglossum longiflorum
Lineage: Eukaryota; Viridiplantae; Streptophyta; Magnoliopsida; Boraginales; Boraginaceae
Description: partial tRNA-His
Source: RNAcentral
AUAUAUAAUAUAAAAAGAGGGCGGAUGUAGCCAAGUGGAUCAAGGCAGUNGAUUGUGAU